AUUGUAAUAGCAGAAUUUUGCGUAAAAUUUAGAAUUUUAAGGUAUAUUUACAAUA
RNAcentral lists this transfer RNA (55 nucleotides) under Histiostomatidae sp. XFX. Its description in RNAcentral is "tRNA-Leu". Lineage: Eukaryota; Metazoa; Arthropoda; Arachnida; Sarcoptiformes; Histiostomatidae. The record is from RNAcentral.